CUUUGGUAGCAUACCCCGGGAACUGGGGAUAAUUCCGGAUAACGCAUAUGUGCUGGAAUGCUUUAUGCGUAAAAUGGAUUCGUCUGCCCAAGGAUGGGUCUGCGGCCUAUCAGGUAGUAGUGGGUGUAAUGUACCUACUAGCCGACAACGGGUACGGGUUGUGAGAGCAAGAGCCCGGAGAUGGAUUCUGAGACAUGAAUCCAGGCCCUACGGGGCGCAGCAGGCGCGAAAACUUUACAAUGCGGGAAACCGUGAUAAGGGGACACCGAGUGUCAGCGUCAUACGCUGGCUGUCCAGGUGUGUAAAAUACACCUGUUAGCAAGGGCCGGGCAAGACCGGUGCCAGCCGCCGCGGUAACACCGGCGGCCCGAGUGGUGAUCGUGAUUAUUGGGUCUAAAGGGUCCGUAGCCGGUUUGGUCAGUCCUCCGGGAAAUCUGAUAGCUCAACUAUUAGGCUAUCGGGGGAUACUACCAGACUUGGAACCGGGAGAGGUAAGAGGUACUACAGGGGUAGGAGUGAAAUCUUGUAAUCCCUGUGGGACCACCUGUGGCGAAGGCGUCUUACCAGAACGGGUUCGACGGUGAGGGACGAAAGCUGGGGGCACGAACCGGAUUAGAUACCCGGGUAGUCCCAGCCGUAAACGAUGCUCGCUAGGUGUCAGGCAUGGCGCGACCGUGUCUGGUGCCGCAGGGAAGCCGUGAAGCGAGCCACCUGGGAAGUACGGCCGCAAGGCUGAAACUUAAAGGAAUUGGCGGGGGAGCAC
This 763-nucleotide ribosomal RNA is filed under the name uncultured archaeon. Its description in RNAcentral is "bacterial SSU rRNA". It matches the Rfam family "Archaeal small subunit ribosomal RNA", at positions 114 to 879 of the family's 1478-position model. The record is from RNAcentral.